GCGCGAAAACUUUACAAUGCCGGCAACGGCGAUAAGGGGACCUCGAGUGCCAGGUUACAAAUCUGGCUGUCGUGAUGCCUAAAAAGCAUUGCAUAGCAAGGGCCGGGCAAGACCGGUGCCAGCCGCCGCGGUAACACCGGCGGCUCGAGUGGUAACCGUUAUUAUUGGGUCUAAAGGGUCUGUAGCCGGCCGGAUAAGUCUCUUGGGAAAUCCAGCAGCUCAACUGUUGGGCUUUCAGGAGAUACUGUCUGGCUCGAGGCCGGGAGAGGUGAGAGGUACUUCAGGGGUAGGGUGAAAUCUUGUAAUCCUUGAAGGACCACCAGUGGCGAAGGUCGUCUCACCAGAACGGACCUGACGGCAAGGGACGAAAGCUAGGGCACGACCGGAUUAGAUACCCGGGUAGUCCUAGCCGUAAACGAUACUCGCUAGGUGUCGGCCACGGUGCGACCGUUGUCGGUGCCGUAGGGAAGCCGUGAAGCGAGCCACCGUGGAACGUACGGCCGCGAAGGCGUAGAAACGUUAAAGGAAUUGGGACGGGGGAGCCGACCGAAC
This 552-nucleotide ribosomal RNA is filed under the name uncultured Methanosarcinales archaeon. Its description in RNAcentral is "bacterial SSU rRNA". It matches the Rfam family "Archaeal small subunit ribosomal RNA", at positions 339 to 886 of the family's 1478-position model. Lineage: Archaea; Methanobacteriati; Methanobacteriota; Methanomicrobia; Methanosarcinales. The record is from RNAcentral.